Talpa occidentalis (Iberian mole) is the source of this 1020-nucleotide long non-coding RNA. RefSeq lists it as uncharacterized. The transcript is spliced from 3 exons. The record is from RefSeq and is a predicted model, not a curated record. NCBI's taxonomy places the organism in Eukaryota, Metazoa, Chordata, Mammalia, Eulipotyphla, Talpidae.
GUCGGAGAGUCACUCAGUCAUGUAGCCAAACUAAGAAGAGGUCACACUGAACUGACCUCUAGGAACCAGAAUGUACCAGUUAAGGAGGAUCACCGGGUCUGCCCCACCAUUGUUUGGACUAUAAUCAGGACCAAGCCUGGGAAUACCCAUUAGGAGGGGAUGCCUACCCUGGAACAAUGCUCCACAUCAUUUCCAUCAAGUUUAAGGAAGGAGGUGGGAAGUAAUAAAGCAACAAGUCUGAGUACAGCAAAUGUUUAAAAUUCACUGAGUAUUAAACUGAACAGACUCAAGGAUGCAUAAUUAUAUUUUGGGAUGAUGCUGAGCUUCCAGAUGAGACUAGAUAAAGAUCUCAAGUGCUGGACAGAGAGGUGGAGAGUCUGAAGAAGUCUAACUGUGUCUCUCUCACAGUGGACCUAUCUAUGCACUGCCACUGGGGGUUGGGAGGAAGGGGAUGGAAAUUAAACUCCCCAGAUAGGCUUGUGUAUUCCAGAUCAGCGACUAAAGAUCACUGCUCCUUGGUGGAGCCCAUAAAGAAAAGCCCUCCUGAACUUCUAAGAACUUUGGUAGAAAUGCCUAUGUUACAUAAAAACAGAGAAAACAUCUCCCUCAAAGUUCUCAAGUGCUGUGGUGGAGUGGCUACAUCUUCCUAUUCAUCCCCAUCUGAGGCCUGAAAGUGAGAAAAACCUGGCACUGCCGGGACCUUGUUAGUUUAAGGAAGAUGGCAUCAACGUUUGGAUCUCAUCUCUAGAAACUCAGUAGUCACAUUCAUGUCUUUUGCAGUGCUUUCCAAAAAAUUUGGCCCACAAGCUACAAGAAAGACAUUUUACAGUGUGGUUCAAGACAUAAAAAAUAUUCAAAAAGAAACAUUUGUGAUAUGGGUUUAUGUUUUCUUUUCUUUCUUAUUCUUUCAUUUGAAAGCGUCUGGUUUGAUCAACAAAACUGAUAUCAUAGAAUGAAAUCAAUAUUUGUAAAACAUUGGUACUUUCUAACCCCCUUCCUCGCCCAUGGAAGAAAAACGAA